RNAcentral lists this ribosomal RNA (580 nucleotides) under Thaxterogaster croceocoeruleus. Its description in RNAcentral is "eukaryotic LSU rRNA". It matches the Rfam family "Eukaryotic large subunit ribosomal RNA", at positions 1 to 580 of the family's 3401-position model. Lineage: Eukaryota; Fungi; Basidiomycota; Agaricomycetes; Agaricales; Cortinariaceae. The record is from RNAcentral.
GUGACCUCAAAUCAGGUAGGACUACCCGCUGAACUUAAGCAUAUCAAUAAGCGGAGGAAAAGAAACUAACAAGGAUUCCCCUAGUAACUGCGAGUGAAGCGGGAAAAGCUCAAAUUUAAAAUCUGGCAGUCUCUGGCUGUCCGAGUUGUAAUCUAGAGAAGUGUUAUCCGCGUUGGACCGUGUACAAGUCUCCUGGAAUGGAGCAUCAUAGAGGGUGAGAAUCCCGUCUUUGACACGGACUGCCAGGGCUUUGUGAUGCGCUCUCAAAGAGUCGAGUUGUUUGGGAAUGCAGCUCAAAAUGGGUGGUAAAUUCCAUCUAAAGCUAAAUAUUGGCGAGAGACCGAUAGCGAACAAGUACCGUGAGGGAAAGAUGAAAAGAACUUUGGAAAGAGAGUUAAACAGUACGUGAAAUUGCUGAAAGGGAAACGCUUGAAGUCAGUCGCGUUGGCCAGGGAUCAACCUUGCUUUUGCUUGGUGUACUUUCUGGUUGACGGGUCAGCAUCAAUUUUGACCAUUGGAAAAAGAUCAAGGGAAUGUGGCAUCUUCGGAUGUGUUAUAACCCUUGGUUGCAUACAGUGGU